RNAcentral lists this long non-coding RNA (1196 nucleotides) under Vigna radiata. RNAcentral describes it as "long non-coding RNA (VRAD_LNC016915)". The record is from RNAcentral. Lineage: Eukaryota; Viridiplantae; Streptophyta; Magnoliopsida; Fabales; Fabaceae.
UUAGUGAAAUAGUUAAUCACUUUUUAUAGUGAUUAACAAUUGGACGUAGAAUCCUUUGAUUCGAACCAAUAUAAAAAUCAGUUGUGUUGAUUUUCUCUGACCUUACACUUUUAGCACUUUAACUGUUUGAUAAAAGUCCCAAAAGAAACUCACGAAUUUUAAAAGAAUCAAUUCACCCAUCUCCUCUUAGUUAUCGACUAAUACACACUAGUUUUAUUUAAAAAACCUUUCUGCUGCGUGAUACCGAUUGUUCCAACAAGAACCAAUUACCUCUUCAAUAUGGGGUCUUGCCAUGCAUUUUUGGAACAAACCUAGAAUUAGCAAAGAAGAAGAUAAACACAACACAAUACAAGUCAUUGAAUUCAUGAAUGAAAAAAGAAAGAGAAAAAGUGUGUGAAAGAAAGACAACUCUAUUUGAUUUUGAUGAAUGGUCCACUUGAACAAACUUGACAACCCCUUUAUAGCUUAACAAAGUUUAUUUGAAUUCAAUCAAAUUGUUACCACAUUCCAUUACUCCCUUAGUAUUUUAGUUAAAUUUAACUUUAUCCACAUGUCUACAAGGGAAAGUAGAACAAACAAAACUUAUCAAUUUCGCCUAUUAACCGAGGAUAUUCACUUUGGAGUGCUUCACCAUAACAUGAACUUUGUGAACUAUUCCCAAUGGAAUUUAGUGGUCUUGAACCUUAAAUUGGCAAAUGUAACCCAACUCUUCAGUUUCAACUACGAACCUCUAACAAUUUAUGGAAAUUUGAGUGACAUAGGGAUGUAUUCGGAGCUAGCGUAUUAUAAUGACAUGUUGCUGAGACAUGGAGACAAUGGGAAUGUGCAAACAGAGGUGUUACUACAAAAAGAUUGACGCUAGUUCAUCUUGAGAGAGGAAAAAGCAAAGAGAGCGAAGCUCGAACACUGUAACUAAAUCCUGAUUACCUUGACGGUCAGUGCGGGAGCGAACACGCCAGAGCCCCUCGAUGACCUAUGCAGCAACAACCACGACAGGGCCCCUCGAUUGGAGCAAUAACAAAUGCAGUAGGGACCUUCGAUGAACAAUAACACACCUCGUUCAACCUACAAAUGCAACACAAUUUUCAAUCCUAAGUAGGGGAAGACCAAGGCGAAGUCAAACUAAAGAGCUCCACGAACAAUAAGAAGCCUUAUUUGAAGAAUGUGAUGCGGGGAGGGAUACGACUUGCGAGAAA